Molecule: ribosomal RNA, 253 nt
Filed under: uncultured bacterium
Lineage: Bacteria
Description: partial 16S ribosomal RNA
Rfam family: Bacterial small subunit ribosomal RNA
Source: RNAcentral
UACAGAGGUGGCAAGCGUUGUUCGGAAUUACUGGGCGUAAAGGGCGCGUAGGCGGUCUUUUAAGUCUUGUGUGAAAUCCCUCGGCUCAACUGAGGAACUGCACGGGAUACUGGAAGACUUGAGUUCGGGAGAGGGAAGCGGAAUUCCGGGUGUAGCGGUGAAAUGCGUAGAUAUCCGGAGGAACACCGGUGGCGAAGGCGGCUUCCUGGACCGACACUGACGCUGAGGCGCGAAAGCUAGGGGAGCAAACGGG